AGUGUAGGACGGGUGCGUAACACGCGAGCAACAUGUCCGACGGUGGGGGAUAGCCGGCCCAACGGCCGGGUAAUACCGCAUACGGUCACGGCAUCGAAAGUGGCGCCGAUGGAGUGGCUCGCGGCCUAUCAGCUAGUUGGUGGGGUCACGGCUCACCAAGGCGACGACGGGUAGCUGGUCUGAGAGGAUGACCAGCCACAUUGGGACUGAGACACGGCCCAGACUCCUACGGGAGGCAGCAGUGGGGAAUAUUGCGCAAUGGGCGAAUGCCUGACGCAGCGACGCCGCGUGUGGGAUGACGGCCUUCGGGUUGUAAACCACUGUCGGGGGGGACGAAUGACGGUACCCCCAAAGGAAGCACCGGCUCACUCCGUGCCAGCAGCCGCGGUAAUACGGAGGGUGCGAGCGUUGUCCGGAAUCAC
This 422-nucleotide ribosomal RNA is filed under the name uncultured soil bacterium. Its description in RNAcentral is "bacterial SSU rRNA". It matches the Rfam family "Bacterial small subunit ribosomal RNA", at positions 94 to 554 of the family's 1533-position model. The record is from RNAcentral.